UCAAUCCUCGAGCCUGUUGUCCUACGGGACCGCCUAUGGAAAGCAGGCCGGAUGGCUUACCGCUGUCCAAAGGGUGUUCCGGGAAACCGGGGCGCCUUCCGCUUUGAAAAGGGGAGCG
This 118-nucleotide non-coding RNA is filed under the name Angelakisella massiliensis. Its description in RNAcentral is "Moco (molybdenum cofactor) riboswitch". It matches the Rfam family "Molybdenum/Tungsten riboswitch aptamer (Moco RNA motif)", at positions 12 to 120 of the family's 135-position model. The record is from RNAcentral. Lineage: Bacteria; Bacillati; Bacillota; Clostridia; Eubacteriales; Oscillospiraceae.